Molecule: small RNA, 68 nt
Filed under: Citrobacter freundii
Lineage: Bacteria; Pseudomonadati; Pseudomonadota; Gammaproteobacteria; Enterobacterales; Enterobacteriaceae
Description: partial RtT sRNA
Rfam family: RtT RNA
About the family: This family represents a bacterial cis-regulatory element known as RtT RNA. The exact function of RtT is unknown although it is thought that it may be involved in changing the cellular response in relation to amino acid starvation.
Source: RNAcentral
GAACGUUGCGUCAGCAACGGCCCGCGGGGCGAGCCACGUAGUGGCGAGUAAUCCUCUAUCACCGACCA